RNAcentral lists this transfer RNA (72 nucleotides) under Camelus bactrianus (Bactrian camel). It matches the Rfam family "tRNA". Rfam says of the family: Transfer RNA (tRNA) molecules are approximately 80 nucleotides in length. Their secondary structure includes four short double-helical elements and three loops (D, anti-codon, and T loops). RNAcentral also lists the same sequence under 2 other names. Lineage: Eukaryota; Metazoa; Chordata; Mammalia; Artiodactyla; Camelidae. The record is from Rfam by way of RNAcentral.
GUGGAUAUAGCUCAGUGGCAGAGCACAUGCUUAGCAUGCACAAGGUCCUGGGUUCAAUCCCCAGGACCUCCA